RNAcentral lists this ribosomal RNA (957 nucleotides) under Cruznema tripartitum. Its description in RNAcentral is "16S ribosomal RNA". The record is from RNAcentral. Lineage: Eukaryota; Metazoa; Nematoda; Chromadorea; Rhabditida; Rhabditidae.
UAAAUUUUAUUUUUGUAAAUAUUAGUAUUGCAUACUAUUUUAGGAAAAUUUCAUUAUUUAUGAAUAAUAGAAAUAAAGGGUAGAAGAUAAAGUAGUUUUAUUGUUUCAUAAUAAAAAUUAUUUAUCUUAGAGUUGAAAUGUCGUCCUUUAUGAUAACUUUUUAUUAAUAGAUAUAUUAGAAAAUUAUAUAUAAAUGUUUUUGAUUAGAAAAUUUAGAAUUUGUAGUGUUUUAAUUUUUAGUUUUAUAACUAUUUUUAAUUAUCAAUUUUUAACUUUUUAUAAUUUAAUAAUUUUAUAUUAAAUAUAUAAUCUAAAUAUUAGUAAAUUAUCAAUAAAUUACGUUUUUAUUUAAAAUAUAAAUUUAAUAACUUGAAUUCUUAAUCAAAUGUUUUUUAAAGACUUAGGUUUUUUUAUAAAACUGGCUUCUGCCCUAUGAUAUUUAAAUGGCAGUCUUAGCGUGAGGACAUUAAGGUAGCAAAAUAAUUUGUGCUUUUAAUAAGUUCCAGUAUGAAUGAAGUUAUUGGUUAGUUCUUUUUAUAUUUUUAAUUUGAAUUUAAUUUCUAUUUAAGAAAAAAUAGAUAUAUUUAAACAAAGAUAAGUCUUCGGAAAUUCUAUUAUUAUAAUUUUAAUUAAGGUUAUAAUAAAUUUUCUAGGGCAGAAUAUUAUAUAAUAUUAUUUUACUAAUAUUAAUUUAAAGAAUUACUCCGGAGUUAACAGAAAAUCAUAUUUAAUCCAGUACUUAUGGUAAAAUAAGUUUUACAUCGAUGUUGUAUUUAAGUUAACUAAGAAAGGAGAAGACUUAGUUUUUUAGACUGUUCUUCUAUUAAUUAACUUAACGUGAUAUUAGUUUAAUUCAUUGUGAGAUAGAAUUGUUUAUCUUGUUAAAUAUAAAAAAUUAAAAUGUUUAGUACGAAAGGAACAAUAUAAAAGUUUUAAACUUUAAGAUCUAGUGAUCUA